UACGUAGGGGGCAAGCGUUGUCCGGAAUCAUUGGGCGUAAAGAGCGUGUAGGCGGUCCGUUAAGUCUGCUGUGAAAGUCCAAGGCUCAACCUUGGGAUGCCGGUCGAUACUGCCGGACUAGAGUUCGGAAGAGGCGAGUGGAAUUCCCGGUGUAGCGGUGAAAUGCGCAGAUAUCGGGAGGAACACCUAUGGCGAAGGCAGCUCGCUGGGACGUUACUGACGCUGAGACGCGAAAGCGUGGGGAGCAAACAGG
This 253-nucleotide ribosomal RNA is filed under the name uncultured bacterium. RNAcentral describes it as "partial 16S ribosomal RNA". It matches the Rfam family "Bacterial small subunit ribosomal RNA", at positions 524 to 776 of the family's 1533-position model. The record is from RNAcentral.